GUGGGGAAUAUUGGGCAAUGGGGGAAACCCUGACCCAGCAACGCCGCGUGAGGGAAGAAGGUUUUCGGAUUGUAAACCUCUGUCCUUGGUGACGAAGGAAGUGACGGUAACCAAGGAGGAAGCCCCGGCUAACUACGUGCCAGCAGCCGCGGUAAUACGUAGGGGGCAAGCGUUGUCCGGAAUGAUUGGGCGUAAAGGGCGCGUAGGCGGCCUGGUAAGUCUGGAGUGAAAGUCCUGCUUUUAAGGUGGGAAUUGCUUUGGAGACUGUCGGGCUUGAGUGCAGGAGAGGUAAGUGGAAUUCCCGGUGUAGCGGUGAAAUGCGUAGGGAUCGGGAGGAACACCAGUGGCGAAGGCGACUUACUGGACUGUAACUGACGCUGAGGCGCGAAAGUGUGGGGAGCAAACAGGAUUAGAAACCCGAGUAGUCC
This 428-nucleotide ribosomal RNA is filed under the name uncultured bacterium. RNAcentral's name for it is "partial 16S ribosomal RNA". It matches the Rfam family "Bacterial small subunit ribosomal RNA", at positions 354 to 796 of the family's 1533-position model. The record is from RNAcentral.